Molecule: ribosomal RNA, 429 nt
Filed under: Bacteroidota bacterium
Lineage: Bacteria; Pseudomonadati; Bacteroidota
Description: Bacteroidetes bacterium partial 16S ribosomal RNA
Rfam family: Bacterial small subunit ribosomal RNA
Source: RNAcentral
UAGGGAAUCUUCCGCAAUGGACGCAAGUCUGACGGAGCAACGCCGCGUGAGUGAAGAAGGAUUUCGGUUCGUAAAACUCUGUUGUUAGAGAAGAACAGCGCAUAGAGUAACUGUUAUGCGUGUGACGGUAUCUAACCAGAAAGCCACGGCUAACUACGUGCUAGCAGCCGCGGUAAUACGUAGGUGGCAAGCGUUGUCCGGAUUUAUUGGGCGUAAAGCGAGCGCAGGCGGUCAAUUAAGUCUGAUGUGAAAGCCCCCGGCUCAACCGGGGAGGGUCAUUGGAAACUGGUUGACUUGAGUGCAGAAGAGGAGAGUGGAAUUCCAUGUGUAGCGGUGAAAUGCGUAGAUAUAUGGAGGAACAACAGUGGCGAAGGCGACUCUCUGGUCUGUAACUGACGCUGAGGCUCGAAAGCGUGGGUAGCAAACAGG